CCUACGGCGUCUGCAGUGGGGAAUAUUGCACCAUGGGCGCAAGCCUGAUGCAGCCAUGCCGCGUGUGUGAAGAAGGCCUUCGGGUUGUAAAGCACUUUCAGCGGGGAGGAAGGCGUUAAGGUUAAUAACCUUGGCGAUUGACGUUACCCGCAGAAGAAGCACCGGCUAACUCCGUGCCAGCAGCCGCGGUAAUACGGAGGGUGCAAGCGUUAAUCGGAAUUACUGGGCGUAAAGCGCACGCAGGCGGUCUGUCAAGUCGGAUGUGAAAUCCCCGGGCUCAACCUGGGAACUGCAUUCGAAACUGGCAGGCUAGAGUCUUGUAGAGGGGGGUAGAAUUCCAGGUGUAGCGGUGAAAUGCGUAGAGAUCUGGAGGAAUACCGGUGGCGAAGGCGGCCCCCUGGACAAAGACUGACGCUCAGGUGCGAAAGCGUGGGGAGCAAACAGGAUUAGAUACCCGGGUAGUC
RNAcentral lists this ribosomal RNA (464 nucleotides) under uncultured Klebsiella sp. RNAcentral describes it as "bacterial SSU rRNA". It matches the Rfam family "Bacterial small subunit ribosomal RNA", at positions 338 to 795 of the family's 1533-position model. Lineage: Bacteria; Pseudomonadati; Pseudomonadota; Gammaproteobacteria; Enterobacterales; Enterobacteriaceae. The record is from RNAcentral.